AAUAAGGUGCCUGAUUAAAAGGAUUAUUUUGAUGGAAUAAAUUAUGUGGUUACACCCUUAUUA
RNAcentral lists this transfer RNA (63 nucleotides) under Acanthaspis pedestris. Its description in RNAcentral is "tRNA-Ile". The record is from RNAcentral. Lineage: Eukaryota; Metazoa; Arthropoda; Insecta; Hemiptera; Reduviidae.